Molecule: ribosomal RNA, 634 nt
Filed under: Microbotryum moenchiae-manticae
Lineage: Eukaryota; Fungi; Basidiomycota; Microbotryomycetes; Microbotryales; Microbotryaceae
Description: partial large subunit ribosomal RNA
Rfam family: Eukaryotic large subunit ribosomal RNA
Source: RNAcentral
UGCAUAUCAAUAAGCGGAGGAAAAGAAACUAACAAGGAUUCCCCUAGUAACGGCGAGUGAAGCGGGAAAGCUCAAAUUUGUAAUCUGGCGCCUUCGGCGUCCGAGUUGUAAUCUCGAGAAGUAUUUUCCGCGCUGGACCGCACAUAAGUCUGUUGGAAUACAGCGUCAUAGUGGUGAGAACCCCGUAUAUGGUGCGGAUGCCCAGUGCUUUGUGAUAUACUUUCGAAGAGUCGAGUUGUUUGGGAAUGCAGCUCAAAUUGGGUGGUAAAUUCCAUCUAAAGCUAAAUAUUGGCGAGAGACCGAUAGCGAACAAGUACCGUGAGGGAAAGAUGAAAAGCACUUUGGAAAGAGAGUUAACAGUACGUGAAAUUGUUGGAAGGGAAACGCUUGAAGUCAGACUUGCAUUUUGGAGUUCAGCCGCAAGGUGUAUUCUUCAAUUCGCAGGCCAGCAUCAGUUUUCGGGGGUGGAAAAUCGCGGUUUGAAGGUAGCAGUCUUGGCUGUGUUAUAGCUUUCCGCUGGAUUCACUUUUGGGGACUGAGGAACGCAGUACGCUUUUUUGCAAGAUUCUAGAGUCUUUCGUACUUAGGAUGCUGGUGGAAUGGCUUUAAACGACCCGUCUUGAAACACGGACCA